UGGGGAAUUUUGGACAAUGGGGGAAACCCUGAUCCAGCCAUCCCGCGUGUGCGAUGAAGGCCUUCGGGUUGUAAAGCACUUUUUGCAGGAAAGAAACGUCAUGGGUUAAUACCCCGUGAAACUGACGGUACCUGCAGAAUAAGCACCGGCUAACUACGUGCCAGCAGCCGCGGUAAUACGUAGGGUGCAAGCGUUAAUCGGAAUUACUGGGCGUAAAGCGUGCGCAGGCGGUUCGGAAAGAAAGAUGUGAAAUCCCAGAGCUCAACUUUGGAACUGCAUUUUUAACUACCGGGCUAGAGUGUGUCAGAGGGAGGUGGAAUUCCGCGUGUAGCAGUGAAAUGCGUAGAUAUGCGGAGGAACACCGAUGGCGAAGGCAGCCUCCGGGGAUAACACUGACGCUCAUGCACGAAAGCGUGGGGAGCAAACAGG
RNAcentral lists this ribosomal RNA (429 nucleotides) under Acidobacteriota bacterium. Its description in RNAcentral is "Acidobacteria bacterium partial 16S ribosomal RNA". It matches the Rfam family "Bacterial small subunit ribosomal RNA", at positions 355 to 776 of the family's 1533-position model. The record is from RNAcentral. Lineage: Bacteria; Pseudomonadati; Acidobacteriota.